Long non-coding RNA from Zingiber officinale, 732 nucleotides. RefSeq lists it as uncharacterized. The record is from RefSeq and is a predicted model, not a curated record. The transcript has 3 exons. NCBI's taxonomy places the organism in Eukaryota, Viridiplantae, Streptophyta, Magnoliopsida, Zingiberales, Zingiberaceae.
GUGUAGGGACAAUGGUUAGACACAUAGGGACGACUUGGUGCAUGACCAAGGUCCUGGUUACUUGAUGGCUCAAGGUCCAUUGAGAUCUGAGAAGGAUUGUAUGGAAUAUUCAAGGAAUUAUGGACUAGGAGCAUCAAAGUGCAAUUGUGCCUAAGAUCGCGAGCUACGUAAGUAGAGCAUAAAGGAUAGCAUAGGGAGAGUCAAGGGUGGGUAAGGGUUCGACGCAUCCGAGGGAUAAGAAGCUUGACGGAAGAUAGUUGAAGAGGACUACAUAUGUGAAGGAGUGAGCCACAGGCAUGGUUCAAUUAAGGAACAAGAAGUUUGACAUAGAUGAUAGACAGCAGUAUAGUGAGUUGAGAAUUAUGGGAAAAUGUACUUGGGGCCAUGCAAGUAAAUCUCCACUUAGACAACUCAGUCAUUAGAUGAGUUGUAGUCAAAAUAAACAGUCAAUGAGUUGUAGUCAAAAUAAACAGUCGACUGAGCCCUUUUCCCAACUCGUGGUUGAAUCAACUGAGUAGUCGACUUAAAUGUGAACAGCUAGUCAUCUAGUUCGUAUGGCCAGUCAAUUAGCGGAGGCUAGAUGAAAUGGUCCCUGAAGGAAACAAUCGUGAUCCACAAGAAUUGAUUUAAGUUCAAUCACUUGGCGGUACAUAGUAGUCAACUGAAUUAAAGGUUGUAGAAUAAAUUACAACAAGAGGUAUUAAAGGUUAUAAAAGGAUUUGAUAGAGGCUU